Molecule: ribosomal RNA, 2802 nt
Filed under: Escherichia coli
Lineage: Bacteria; Pseudomonadati; Pseudomonadota; Gammaproteobacteria; Enterobacterales; Enterobacteriaceae
Description: bacterial LSU rRNA
Rfam family: Bacterial large subunit ribosomal RNA
Source: RNAcentral
GGGUUGUGAGGUUAAGCGACUAAGCGUACACGGUGGAUGCCCUGGCAGUCAGAGGCGAUGAAGGACGUGCUAAUCUGCGAUAAGCGUCGGUAAGGUGAUAUGAACCGUUAUAACCGGCGAUUUCCGAAUGGGGAAACCCAGUGUGUUUCGACACACUAUCAUUAACUGAAUCCAUAGGUUAAUGAGGCGAACCGGGGGAACUGAAACAUCUAAGUACCCCGAGGAAAAGAAAUCAACCGAGAUUCCCCCAGUAGCGGCGAGCGAACGGGGAGGAGCCCAGAGCCUGAAUCAGUGUGUGUGUUAGUGGAAGCGUCUGGAAAGGCGCGCGAUACAGGGUGACAGCCCCGUACACAAAAAUGCACAUGCUGUGAGCUCGAUGAGUAGGGCGGGACACGUGGUAUCCUGUCUGAAUAUGGGGGGACCAUCCUCCAAGGCUAAAUACUCCUGACUGACCGAUAGUGAACCAGUACCGUGAGGGAAAGGCGAAAAGAACCCCGGCGAGGGGAGUGAAAAAGAACCUGAAACCGUGUACGUACAAGCAGUGGGAGCACGCUUAGGCGUGUGACUGCGUACCUUUUGUAUAAUGGGUCAGCGACUUAUAUUCUGUAGCAAGGUUAACCGAAUAGGGGAGCCGAAGGGAAACCGAGUCUUAACUGGGCGUUAAGUUGCAGGGUAUAGACCCGAAACCCGGUGAUCUAGCCAUGGGCAGGUUGAAGGUUGGGUAACACUAACUGGAGGACCGAACCGACUAAUGUUGAAAAAUUAGCGGAUGACUUGUGGCUGGGGGUGAAAGGCCAAUCAAACCGGGAGAUAGCUGGUUCUCCCCGAAAGCUAUUUAGGUAGCGCCUCGUGAAUUCAUCUCCGGGGGUAGAGCACUGUUUCGGCAAGGGGGUCAUCCCGACUUACCAACCCGAUGCAAACUGCGAAUACCGGAGAAUGUUAUCACGGGAGACACACGGCGGGUGCUAACGUCCGUCGUGAAGAGGGAAACAACCCAGACCGCCAGCUAAGGUCCCAAAGUCAUGGUUAAGUGGGAAACGAUGUGGGAAGGCCCAGACAGCCAGGAUGUUGGCUUAGAAGCAGCCAUCAUUUAAAGAAAGCGUAAUAGCUCACUGGUCGAGUCGGCCUGCGCGGAAGAUGUAACGGGGCUAAACCAUGCACCGAAGCUGCGGCAGCGACGCUUAUGCGUUGUUGGGUAGGGGAGCGUUCUGUAAGCCUGUGAAGGUGUGCUGUGAGGCAUGCUGGAGGUAUCAGAAGUGCGAAUGCUGACAUAAGUAACGAUAAAGCGGGUGAAAAGCCCGCUCGCCGGAAGACCAAGGGUUCCUGUCCAACGUUAAUCGGGGCAGGGUGAGUCGACCCCUAAGGCGAGGCCGAAAGGCGUAGUCGAUGGGAAACAGGUUAAUAUUCCUGUACUUGGUGUUACUGCGAAGGGGGGACGGAGAAGGCUAUGUUGGCCGGGCGACGGUUGUCCCGGUUUAAGCGUGUAGGCUGGUUUUCCAGGCAAAUCCGGAAAAUCAAGGCUGAGGCGUGAUGACGAGGCACUACGGUGCUGAAGCAACAAAUGCCCUGCUUCCAGGAAAAGCCUCUAAGCAUCAGGUAACAUCAAAUCGUACCCCAAACCGACACAGGUGGUCAGGUAGAGAAUACCAAGGCGCUUGAGAGAACUCGGGUGAAGGAACUAGGCAAAAUGGUGCCGUAACUUCGGGAGAAGGCACGCUGAUAUGUAGGUGAAGCGACUUGCUCGUGGAGCUGAAAUCAGUCGAAGAUACCAGCUGGCUGCAACUGUUUAUUAAAAACACAGCACUGUGCAAACACGAAAGUGGACGUAUACGGUGUGACGCCUGCCCGGUGCCGGAAGGUUAAUUGAUGGGGUCAGCGCAAGCGAAGCUCUUGAUCGAAGCCCCGGUAAACGGCGGCCGUAACUAUAACGGUCCUAAGGUAGCGAAAUUCCUUGUCGGGUAAGUUCCGACCUGCACGAAUGGCGUAAUGAUGGCCAGGCUGUCUCCACCCGAGACUCAGUGAAAUUGAACUCGCUGUGAAGAUGCAGUGUACCCGCGGCAAGACGGAAAGACCCCGUGAACCUUUACUAUAGCUUGACACUGAACAUUGAGCCUUGAUGUGUAGGAUAGGUGGGAGGCUUUGAAGUGUGGACGCCAGUCUGCAUGGAGCCGACCUUGAAAUACCACCCUUUAAUGUUUGAUGUUCUAACGUUGACCCGUAAUCCGGGUUGCGGACAGUGUCUGGUGGGUAGUUUGACUGGGGCGGUCUCCUCCUAAAGAGUAACGGAGGAGCACGAAGGUUGGCUAAUCCUGGUCGGACAUCAGGAGGUUAGUGCAAUGGCAUAAGCCAGCUUGACUGCGAGCGUGACGGCGCGAGCAGGUGCGAAAGCAGGUCAUAGUGAUCCGGUGGUUCUGAAUGGAAGGGCCAUCGCUCAACGGAUAAAAGGUACUCCGGGGAUAACAGGCUGAUACCGCCCAAGAGUUCAUAUCGACGGCGGUGUUUGGCACCUCGAUGUCGGCUCAUCACAUCCUGGGGCUGAAGUAGGUCCCAAGGGUAUGGCUGUUCGCCAUUUAAAGUGGUACGCGAGCUGGGUUUAGAACGUCGUGAGACAGUUCGGUCCCUAUCUGCCGUGGGCGCUGGAGAACUGAGGGGGGCUGCUCCUAGUACGAGAGGACCGGAGUGGACGCAUCACUGGUGUUCGGGUUGUCAUGCCAAUGGCACUGCCCGGUAGCUAAAUGCGGAAGAGAUAAGUGCUGAAAGCAUCUAAGCACGAAACUUGCCCCGAGAUGAGUUCUCCCUGAC